Molecule: unclassified non-coding RNA, 253 nt
Filed under: uncultured Dehalococcoidia bacterium
Lineage: Bacteria; Bacillati; Chloroflexota; Dehalococcoidia
Description: contains 16S-23S intergenic spacer region
Rfam family: Bacterial small subunit ribosomal RNA
Source: RNAcentral
UACGUAGGUGGCAAGCGUUGUCCGGAAUUACUGGGCGUAAAGGGUCCGUAGGCGGUUCGGUAAGUCUUUUGUGAAAACCCCAGGCUCAACUUGGGGACGCCGAGGGAUACUGCCGAACUAGAGACUGUCAGAGGCGAACGGAAUUCCCGGUGUAGUGGUGAAAUGCGUAGAUAUCGGGAGGAACUCCAGUGGCGAAAGCGGUUCGCUGGGACAGUUCUGACGCUGAGGGACGAAAGCGUGGGGAGCAAACAGG